This 372-nucleotide ribosomal RNA is filed under the name uncultured organism. Its description in RNAcentral is "partial 16S ribosomal RNA". It matches the Rfam family "Bacterial small subunit ribosomal RNA", at positions 527 to 896 of the family's 1533-position model. The record is from RNAcentral.
GUAGGUGGCAAGCGUUGUCCGGAAUUAUUGGGCGUAAAGCGCGCGCAGGCGGUUCUUUAAGUCUGAUGUGAAAGCCCACGGCUCAACCGUGAAGGGUCAUUGGAAACUGGAGAACUUGAGUACAGAAGAGGAAAGCGGAAUUCCACGUGUAGCGGUGAAAUGCGUAGAGAUGUGGAGGAACACCAGUGGCGAAGGCGGCUUUCUGGUCUGUAACUGACGCUGAGGCGCGAAAGCGUGGGGAGCAAACAGGAUUAGAUACCCUGGUAGUCCACGCCGUAAACGAUGAGUGCUAAGUGUUAGGGGGUUUCCGCCCCCCUUAGUGCUGCAGCUAACGCAUUAAGCACUCCGCCUGGGAGUACGGCCGCAAGGCUG